AAAGCUUGAAAGGAUGGUAUUAUGCCAUGCAAGCCAGUUAGUGAACCAACGGGCUAAGGGUGCCAAGGGUCUCACUAGCGUACAGGGCGCGGCUCGGCCACUGGUAGCCGAGGACAGCUUAUUAUGCACUGAGCUUGGUUUAAGCGGGCCAGAGUCAGUGGGUUAAACAGAGGGCGUGGCCUAAGUCGUCGGCCCUGAUUAUUAUGUGAUAUGAGCAGUAUAUGUGGUAGAAUGUAUCUUGUAUUGGAUUGUAUAUGCUGAUUAUCUGUUGUGGACUAUCUAGUAAAGGCAAGGGCAAGUUAGAUCAGCCCUGACUGGAGAGCUCGGCGAGCGGAAUGUACAUAGCCAGGUGCUCGGCCGCCACGGUUGAGGUCUAGGCAAGGACAUGGAACCUAAAGACUGUCUGUUUUGCCUUAGUAUGGCUAGUGGAUACUUAUGUACUUUUGGAAGUCUGUAAACUUAUUUUAACUUUGUGUUUAUGGGAUCCCUUGUUUAUUACAGUUUAAAUAUAUGAAAUGAGUCUUUUAAGACUGAAACCUUUUU
Humulus lupulus (European hop) is the source of this 543-nucleotide long non-coding RNA. RefSeq lists it as uncharacterized. NCBI's taxonomy places the organism in Eukaryota, Viridiplantae, Streptophyta, Magnoliopsida, Rosales, Cannabaceae. The transcript has 2 exons. The record is from RefSeq and is a predicted model, not a curated record.